Molecule: long non-coding RNA, 373 nt
Filed under: Brassica napus (rape)
Lineage: Eukaryota; Viridiplantae; Streptophyta; Magnoliopsida; Brassicales; Brassicaceae
Description: long non-coding RNA (BNAP_LNC016760)
Source: RNAcentral
UGUUCCACCCAGAGUUGUAUUGGGCCUUGAUAGUGGGUUUAGUUACGUUAGACAGGGUCUGCGUGGAAUGCUUAUAAUGGAACUGAUUUAUAAAUGUGGCCCAGAUAUCACCAUCUUUAAAUGGAAGAACAAAUUUUUCCCCCUACUAAAGCAGGAGAAGACAGAACAAGUUUUUAGAAAGUGGUGGCACCUGAGCAGCAUGCAGCGAUACACUCGUCACGCUCGGUUCGUCGCGUCCGCCACAUCAUCACGUGGCUCUCACGUGUUUUACUAGAUUACACUAAAAAUGUUAUGACAUCGAAGCUGAUGUGUAAGAACAUGCACUUUGAUGAGCCAUGCAACUUGAAAUGUGUCUAGUGUUUACUCUCUCCAU